UGCAGCCGAGUUUAGCCGAACAGCCGAAAACAGCCGAGGCCUGACGAAAAGGGACGAGUUUAGCCGAAGAGCCGAACCCACCCGAGUUUAGCCGACUUCUGCUGCAUCGAGCCGAGCGCAGCCGCGCUCAGCCGAACCCAGCGAGCUGCGCCGAACCGAGCUGAGGUCAGUGGGUUUCGGUGCCGGAACUGGGGGAAGUGGAAUCGAGGUGAGGCUUAAAAAACAAACGGAACUCGAGCAAAAAGGACAAGAGCUGCCAGAGGAGCUGCCAUGACUCCAGUGUCAUUGGUGAGGCAGUUUCUGCUCUGAGGAGUUUUUGAACGCUGCUCAACAGCAACAGACCUCAUCCUGCAUGUUUGAAGACUGUAGCUGCUGAAAGGCUGAGGUGAGACCAGGAUCUGCAGUCCCUGACUCUCCGUGUCUUGCUGAGGCUGAAGCCACGUUUGCUGUCAAUGACGACUUAGUGGAAGAUGCUAAAGACUGAAAACUUGUGGGUUUUUUCCCUGAAUGUCAAGACUCUCUCUGCAGCUGUGCCCUGUACAGCUCUUAAAAGAGCUUUUGGGUUUAGAAGGGGUUUUCCAUUCUGCAAUAUUUAUCCAUAACUCAAUAAAAAAGAGUCAUACUGUA
This is a long non-coding RNA of Hirundo rustica (Barn swallow), 627 nucleotides long. RefSeq lists it as uncharacterized. The record is from RefSeq and is a predicted model, not a curated record. NCBI's taxonomy places the organism in Eukaryota, Metazoa, Chordata, Aves, Passeriformes, Hirundinidae. The transcript has 3 exons.